GAGCGGAGCCCAGGCCAACCUGGAAGCCAGGCAUGGCCGAACACUGCAGGCUCGAUCCUUAUCUCGGUUGUAAGACAGAGUUUCCUGAGCAGCUGGAGGU
Non-coding RNA from Cricetulus griseus (Chinese hamster), 100 nucleotides. Lineage: Eukaryota; Metazoa; Chordata; Mammalia; Rodentia; Cricetidae. The record is from Rfam.